RNAcentral lists this ribosomal RNA (434 nucleotides) under uncultured Salmonella sp. Its description in RNAcentral is "bacterial SSU rRNA". It matches the Rfam family "Bacterial small subunit ribosomal RNA", at positions 958 to 1393 of the family's 1533-position model. The record is from RNAcentral. Lineage: Bacteria; Pseudomonadati; Pseudomonadota; Gammaproteobacteria; Enterobacterales; Enterobacteriaceae.
AACGCGAAGAACCUUACCUGGUCUUGACAUCCACAGAACCUUGUAGAGAUACGAGGGUGCCUUCGGGAACUGUGAGACAGGUGCUGCAUGGCUGUCGUCAGCUCGUGUUGUGAAAUGUUGGGUUAAGUCCCGCAACGAGCGCAACCCUUAUCCUUUGUUGCCAGCGGUCCGGCCGGGAACUCAAAGGAGACUGCCAGUGAUAAACUGGAGGAAGGUGAGGAUGACGUCAAGUCAUCAUGGCCCUUACGACCAGGGCUAUACACGUGCUACAAUGGCGCAUACAAAGAGAAGCGACCUCGCGAGAGCAAGCGGACCUCAUAAAGUGCGUCGUAGUCCGGAUUGGAGUCUGCAACUCGACUCCAUGAAGUCGGAAUCGCUAGUAAUCGUGGAUCAGAAUGCCACGGUGAAUACGUUCCCGGGUCUUGUACACACGC